This 621-nucleotide ribosomal RNA is filed under the name Gymnosporangium japonicum. Its description in RNAcentral is "eukaryotic LSU rRNA". It matches the Rfam family "Eukaryotic large subunit ribosomal RNA", at positions 41 to 643 of the family's 3401-position model. Lineage: Eukaryota; Fungi; Basidiomycota; Pucciniomycetes; Pucciniales; Gymnosporangiaceae. The record is from RNAcentral.
UAUCAAUAAGCGGAGGAAAAGAAACUAACAAGGAUUCCCCUAGUAACAGCGAGUGAAGAGGGAUCAGCCCAAAUUUGUAAUCUGGCUCUUUUCAGAGUCUGAGUUGUAAUUUUGAGAACUGUUUUCUGCUCUGGACCAUGUACAAGUCUGUUGAAAUGCAGCAUCAUUGAGGGUGAGAAUCCUGUUCAUGAUAUGGACUACCAGAGCUUUAUGAUAUAGUCUCUAAGAGUCGAGUUGUUUGGGAAUGCAGCUCAAAGUGGGUGGUAAAUUCCAUCUAAGGCUAAAUAUUGGUGAGAGACCGAUAGCAAACAAGUACCGUGAGGGAAAGAUGAAAAGAACUUUGGAAAGAGAGUUAACAGUACGUGAAAUUGUUAAAAGGGAAACAGUUGAAGUUAGACUUGUUGUUGUUGGUUCAGCUCUUUUAAGGGUGUUUUCUAAUAAUUAACAAACCAAUGUCAAUUUUUGGGUGUUGGAUAAGGGUUAUUGAAAUGUAGCAGUUUUGGCUGUGUUAUAGUCUUUGACUUGGAUACAAUGCUUAGGAUUGAGGAUUGCAGUAAGCCAUUUAUUUGGUGGAACAAUUUAUUGUUCUUCUUGCUGAGGAUAUUGGUGAAAUAGCUUUAA